GGUAUUUUAAAACUCAGGUUGAUCUCUCAUCUUAACUGUGAUUGGUUCAAUUUUACCAUACCGAAAGAAUAAAUUCAUUUGAGCUUUUACCUACGCCUUUGCCGACAUCUUCAGGCCGCGGGGCGGGAUGUCGCACACGGCCGUCUUCACGUUGUUGGGGAUCCACUCCACGAAGUAGCUGCUGUUCUUGUUCUGCACGUUGAGCAUCUGCUCGUCCACCUCCUUCAUGGACAUGCGGCCCCGGAAGAUGGCAGCCACCGUCAGGUAGCGGCCGUGGCGCGGGUCGCAGGCGGCCAUCAUGUUCUUGGAGUCGAACAUCUGCUGGGUGAGCUCGGGCACCGUGAGCGCCCGGUACUGCUGGCUGCCCCGGCUGGUCAGGGGCGCGAAGCCGGGCAUGAAGAAGUGCAGGCGAGGGAAGGGCACCAUGUUCACCGCCAGCUUGCGCAGGUCUGCGUUCAGCUGGCCCGGGAAGCGCAGGCAGGUGGUGACCCCGCUCAUGGUGGCCGACACCAGGUGGUUGAGGUCCCCGUAGGUGGGGGUGGUCAGCUUCAGGGUGCGGAAGCAGAUGUCAUACAGGGCCUCGUUGUCAAUGCAGUAGGUUUCAUCUGUGUUUUCCACCAGCUGGUGGACCGAGAGGGUGGCGUUGUAGGGCUCCACCACCGUGUCUGACACCUUGGGUGAGGGCAUGACGCUGAAGGUGUUCAUGAUGCGGUCUGGGUACUCUUCCCGGAUCUUGCUGAUGAGUCGACCAGCUCGGCUCCCUCUGUGUAGUGGCCCUUGGCCCAGUUAUUCCCGGCUCCACUCUGGCCUGCCAGAGGGAAAGAGAAAUCUUAAGUCACCGGUGAUUGUACUAAAUACCUUACCUCAAACCCCUCAAUAUCGCUGUGGCUGCGGGACCCUCACCCGGCGCUGAAAACCCUCCACAUCAGCUCCUGCUCGGAAAUGUCUCCGCAGCUCACCAGUGCUUUUCGAAAUCCCCAAUAUUUAGCUCCCACUUAUAAGUGAGAACAUGCAGUAUUUAGUUUUCUGUUUCUGUAUUAUUUCGCUUAGGAUAAUGACCUUCAGCUGCAUCCAUGUUGCUGCCAAGGACGUGAUUUUGUUUUCUUUUUUUUAAGGUAUCUGUGAUACGUCCCACUAGUUGCCAGGAGCAAUGGACUGCCUAUGCUCUAUGCCCCCAGUUUGCAUCAUAGGACUGGUACAGGUUUUGCAUUUAUUAUAUAUAUUUAUUCUUAUAAGCUAAUAUUCCAAGGCACAAUAUACUUAGUAUGAGGUACAUUGUUAAUGAUAUCAGAUAUUAAUAUUUCCAACUUUUCUAUUACUUCCAGUUUUAUUUUGGCCAACAUCUAGGCAGACUUGGGGUUCAACCCAGCUACAGUUCCUCCUUUAUGGAUCUCCCUUUCCAGGGAACAAUUCAUGACACAUGGCCACAAAACAUAAGCAUCCUGUGAGGGCACCUGUGUCAUUUUGAACUCUAACUACCUAAAGCAUAAUUUCUUUAUUUUUAUAUGAAACAAACAGAGGUUCUGAUUUUCUUCCCAUGCUCCAACAGAUGCUCUUGCCUGCCCCAUUCUGAGAACUCCUGAUUGGAUUCGAGUUAGUUCAUUGGCCUUUAUACCUUCCACAUUGCCUGAAACUAAGCACGGGCAAAUAAUAACAGAACUUGGGUUAAAAAAAUCACAAAUAUAAGGCAAUUAGGAAAAGCCCCCAGGUACCUCUAACCUGAAGCAGGAGCAGAUUGUUCUGCAGAUUAAGUACAAAGAAACCUUCCUCCUCUUUCUCCAUAAUUACCUCUUGGCCAGGUCCAG
Molecule: long non-coding RNA, 1805 nt
Filed under: Homo sapiens (human)
Lineage: Eukaryota; Metazoa; Chordata; Mammalia; Primates; Hominidae
Description: long non-coding RNA NONHSAT107017.2
Source: RNAcentral